GAUGAACGCUGGCGGCGUGCCUAAUACAUGCAAGUCGAGCGAACAGACGAGGAGCUUGCUCCUCUGACGUUAGCGGCGGACGGGUGAGUAACACGUGGAUAACCUACCUAUAAGACUGGGAUAACUUCGGGAAACCGGAGCUAAUACCGGAUAAUAUAUUGAACCGCAUGGUUCAAUAGUGAAAGACGGUUUUGCUGUCACUUAUAGAUGGAUCCGCGCCGCAUUAGCUAGUUGGUAAGGUAACGGCUUACCAAGGCAACGAUGCGUAGCCGACCUGAGAGGGUGGUAGGCCACACGGGAACUGAGACACGGUCCAGACUCCUACGGGAGGCAGCAGUAGGGAAUCUUCCGCAAUGGGCGAAAGCCUGACGGAGCAACGCCGCGUGAGUGAUGAAGGUCUUCGGAUCGUAAAACUCUGUUAUUAGGGAAGAACAAAUGUGUAAGUAACUAUGCACGUCUUGACGGUACCUAAUCAGAAAGCCACGGCUAACUACGUG
This 497-nucleotide ribosomal RNA is filed under the name uncultured bacterium. RNAcentral describes it as "partial 16S ribosomal RNA". It matches the Rfam family "Bacterial small subunit ribosomal RNA", at positions 28 to 507 of the family's 1533-position model. The record is from RNAcentral.